CUCCCACCAAAAAAGGGGAAGCGACUGAAGAAACGAUGCUGAAAACACUGCCGGACGUCAACACCACAGUUCAGGGCAUGGCCAUCAUGUGGCUGCUCAGCCAGCAGUCCAGUGACUUUGCACCUCUUGGCCAGUACUCUGAGGACCACUUCAGUGAGGAGACUCCACGGCAGAUGAUAGCGAACUUUCAAAAGGAGCUGGCGGCGUUGAGUGCAGCAAUCAAAGAGAGAAACAAAACUCUGGAAGUGCCGUACACAUACUUGGAUCCAGAGGAGGUAGAAAACAGUGUGGCUAUUUAGGGAAGUAAGAGAAGUUUCCUCUCAGUUUUCAUAGUUGAUAAUAAUCCCACACUGAUGUGUUUCAUGUUAUUUUAGGUGUAUUAUUGGAACUUUUGUGAACAUGUUGGGGGGGAGCAGAGGGGACAUGAUAAUUAUUUUCAAUUUUAUUUCAGUUUUGUUUAAAUGUAUAAUUCAAAUUUGAAUGCAAUGUUAUUAUUUGGGAUGCAUGCAGAGAAAUAUGGAGUCAGACGAGUGAGUGUACCGACCCUAUAGAGUUUAGAAAGUGAGUUUCUCUAAUUUGUUGCUUAAAAAUACCUGUGUAAGAAUCUAUGUCAAAGUGCAAAUAAAAAUGUUUUUAAGCAGAAAACAA
Molecule: long non-coding RNA, 648 nt
Organism: Poecilia latipinna (sailfin molly)
Lineage: Eukaryota; Metazoa; Chordata; Actinopteri; Cyprinodontiformes; Poeciliidae
Exons: 2
Source: RefSeq, a predicted model, not a curated record